UACAGAGGGGGCAAGCGUUGUUCGGAAUUACUGGGCGUAAAGGGCGCGUAGGCGGCCUGCUAAGUCGAACGUGAAAUCCCUGGGCUUAACCCAGGAACUGCGUCCGAUACUGGUUGGCUUGAAUCCGGGAGAGGGAUGUGGAAUUCCAGGUGUAGCGGUGAAAUGCGUAGAUAUCUGGAGGAACACCGGUGGCGAAGGCGACAUCCUGGACCGGCAUUGACGCUGAGGCGCGAAAGCCAGGGGAGCAAACGGG
RNAcentral lists this ribosomal RNA (253 nucleotides) under uncultured bacterium. Its description in RNAcentral is "partial 16S ribosomal RNA". It matches the Rfam family "Bacterial small subunit ribosomal RNA", at positions 524 to 776 of the family's 1533-position model. The record is from RNAcentral.